This 469-nucleotide long non-coding RNA is filed under the name Brassica napus (rape). RNAcentral's name for it is "long non-coding RNA (BNAP_LNC011832)". Lineage: Eukaryota; Viridiplantae; Streptophyta; Magnoliopsida; Brassicales; Brassicaceae. The record is from RNAcentral.
UCCCUGAUUCUCCUUCCCUUCUCACCUAUAACAUCCAAUGAAACAAAUUUAACAAAAAGCCCCAAGCUUUUUAUUCUAAAGGAAGUUUAGAUUUUAUAGAGAGUUGUUGCUCAGUGGAGACAUGGCCAGACCAAUCUGGCCCAUACCGUGGCUUCAAACAGAGGAUCACAAUCUGGUCCAUACCGUGGUUAAAAACCAAUCAGAUCAUUUUUCUUCUACAAAUUAACUGAACCAAAAAGAUCACAUGCCUACGGUUUUAGGACCACAUCCUUUGGAGAUAAGCUUCAACCUUUCAGCUUCUGUCACGGAUGGUCGACUCACAUCCAGCAAUAAUCAUAAAAGAAAAAUUUUGAAAUCAUCAUCUCUCAUAGUUUAUAAGAAUCUCAGUGAAAGAUUCAAACACAUAAUUGAAUGAUUCAAACACAUAAUCAAAGGAUUCAAACACAAAAACAAAACAAUAAAGCUUUAC